GUUUGCAAGUUGGGUCACAAGGUAAGUGCAAAAAUACCACUCCCUCUCUUCUUUAAAUCUUGUAAGAAUGAUGAGAUGAGUGAGUAUUCCAUGAAAAUGAAAACAAAUAAAAAGAAAUUGAAGAACCCUAAUUUUGGCAGCCAUGAAUCUUGUGAGGUUUGCUGUUUUUAAAUGAUGAAAAAUGGUUCCAUAAGGAUGUUUGAAUAGUUGAUAUGAUAAGAAGUGUAAAAGAGUUGAGUUUGUGUAAAUUGGGUGAUUGGAAUUAGGGUUUAUGUAUAUGAUGUGGGGACUUUAUGUAAAUACUUGAAAUUGACUUGGUUGAGUUGAGAUUGAUGCUUAUAGAAGUGCCAUAUAUGCUUAUUUGGAGUUUGGAAGAAGGAGGAGAUUGAAAUUGGGAGUGUGAAUUUUCUGCAGGUUGUGUUGUUAUUGAAUCCAGUAGAUUUUUAUUGCCAUAUCUCCCUUUGUGUUGCCCCAAUUGGUAUGAGGCCAAUUGAAAGUGUUUUGGGACAUCCAAACCUUC
This 520-nucleotide unclassified non-coding RNA is filed under the name Hevea brasiliensis (rubber tree). The record is from RNAcentral. Lineage: Eukaryota; Viridiplantae; Streptophyta; Magnoliopsida; Malpighiales; Euphorbiaceae.